RNAcentral lists this ribosomal RNA (447 nucleotides) under Knersvlaktia sp. n. BVB01. Its description in RNAcentral is "partial 16S ribosomal RNA". It matches the Rfam family "Bacterial large subunit ribosomal RNA", at positions 1827 to 2527 of the family's 2925-position model. Lineage: Eukaryota; Metazoa; Arthropoda; Insecta; Neuroptera; Nemopteridae. The record is from RNAcentral.
CAUGUCUUUUUGUAAAUAAUUUAAAGUCUAGUCUGCCCACUGAAUUUUUUAAAGGGCCGCAGUAAUCUGACUGUGCAAAGGUAGCAUAAUCAUUUGUCUCUUAAUUGGAGGCUGGUAUGAACGACUGGACGAGGUAAAAGCUGUCUCAUUACUAGAAUUAUAAAAAUUUAGCUUUUUAGUCAAAAGGCUGAGAUUUUUUUGGAGGACGAGAAGACCCUAUAGAUCUUUAUAAUAAAUGCUAAUUUUAAAUUUUGGUUAUAUAUAAUUUAAUUUUAUUAUUAAUUAUUUUGUUGGGGUGACAUGAAAAUUUAACUAACUUUUCAUUAUUUUUUUACAUUAAUAAAUGCUUUUUUGAUCCAUUAUUAGUGAUUAUAAGAAUAAGUUACCUUAGGGAUAACAGCGUUAUUUUAUUGGAGAGUUCAUAUUGAUAAUAAAGUUUGCGACCUC